GGGUUAAAUAAAACUAUGUUUUUAUUGAAAAAGCAUCCUUCAGGUUUGUGUGAUUGUGGAAUGGAAGAUGAGUCAGUGGAGCAUGUUAUUUGUCACUGCAUUAAUUAUGAGAUGCAAAUAAUAAGAUUAAAAGAUGAGUUAAAGAAAUAUGGGGGUGAAUGUAUUAAGUCUUACGGAUAUAUUAAAUGAUGGGCAGACAUAUAAAGCUGUAUUUAUUUUUCUGAAGGAGUCUGGAUUAAUGAAUAGAUUGUAGGUUUUUUUAUUUUAUUUAUUUUUUAUUUUUUAAAGAAAAAAUACAUCUCUGGUCCACACUCCAGUACAGCAGGUGGCGGUUAUGCACCUUAAAAAGUAGUUGUCUCCUGCCAAUUAAAAAGAAGAAGAAGAACAAGAAGAAGAAGAUGAAGAUGAUGAACUUUUGGGUAGAGUCUGUGCAAAUAUAAGUUUAAAAGGUUUCUCCCUACCUCUUAGUUCUUGGCUGAUGAAGGGCACAAACAAGUGUUGUUUGACACAGCAAAGACAUCUGAAGAACUUCCUGUACUGCUGCCUGACCUGGAUAAUAAUGAGACGAGAGGAGCUGAGUGAUUUCAUAAGAUCAGUUUAACCUCUGAAACUCAUGAACCAGAAUAGAGUUUGUUUAGAAUAAACAGGGUGUGGCCAAAGGUUUCAUUGGUGCUUUGUCAUCAUUGCAAGAUUUCAAAUGCAACCCAGUCAGUUCUUCCAAGGCACCAAACGCUGGCUCGUGACCAGACCGCCCCACUGAAACUACAUACUGUGUGGACUUUGAAGACGAGGGGUUUAUUGUUUUCAUUCCAGGUAAUAUGUGUAAAUGUGUUGAGUUUUUACUACAAUUAUAAUGUGCUUUACUAUUCUCAGUGGCAUCUACGCUAAUAUCAGUCUGUUUCAUUAUUAUUCCGAGGUCACCGUAGCCACCCGGAUCCAGUCCGUUUCCAGAUCAGAUGGUGGGUCAGCACCUAGAGACAACCUCUACAGCCCUGAAUGUCAGCGGAGACCACGUCAGCUAGAUGAGCUCCAGAGACAGAUCCCCUCCGAAGACCUCUUUGGCCAUCGGGACAAGACCACAAGAACCAGACAAGUCCUCUGCUCAAUCUGACCUGUGUUGCAGCCUAGAAUUAAACCACACCAUGCUGGUUUCAUCUGGCCAGAGGAGAACUGCCCCCUGACUGAGCCUCGUUUUUCCCAAUGUUUUCUACCCAAUUUCUGUCACCGAUGGAGUUUUGGGUCCUUGCCGCUGUCACCUUUGGCUUGUUUUUUGUUUUUGUUUUUUUGGGGGAAGCUUGGCUGAUUGCAAAGACAUUAUUGGAAGAGAUCUGAACUGGAUGAUGUCAACACUGAAUCACCAAUGAACUGACUUUAACUGGAAAAAUUACUCUUGCAUUAUUGACAAUCUAUUUUCCUGUUUGACUGUAAAGCUGCUUUGACACAAAUCAGUAUUGUAUAAAGCGCUAUAUAAAUAAAGAUGACUUGAUUUGAUUUUAUAUACUGUAACAUCUUUUUCUUUUUUUUUUUUUUUUUUUUUUGACUUCUGCCUAAUUUUAAAGAUGUAAUUGUGAUGAGUAAUAAUAUUUGUAAAUGUUUGUUUUCUAACAUUUUGUUUAGCUUGUUUAGUUUCUCUUAGUUCAUUAAACAUUUUUCUGUUUAAAUUCAACUGAAUUUUGCAGUUGUAUUACAUGAUGUAAUGUACAAACCCGAUUCCAAAAAAGUUGGGACACUGUACAAAUUGUGAAUAAAAACAGAAUGCAAUGAUGUGGAAGUUUCAAAUUUCAAUAUUUUAUUCAGAAUACAACAUAGAUGACAUAUCAAAUGUUUAAACUGAGAAAAUGUAUCAUUUUAAGGGAAAAAUAAGUUGAUUUUAAAUUUCAUGGCAUCAACACAUCUCAAAAAAGUUGGGACAAGGCCAUGUUUACCACUGUGUGGCAUCCCCUCUUCUUUUUAUAACAGUCUGCAAAGGUCUGGCGACUGAGGAGACAAGUUGCUCAAGUUUAGGAAUAGGAAUGUUGUCCCAUUCUUGUCUAAUACAGGCUUCUAGUUGCUCAACUGUCUUAGGUCUUCUUUGUCGCAUAUUUUCUCUUUAUGAUGCGCCAAAUGUUUUAUAUGGGUGAAAGAUGUGGACUGCAGGCUGGCCAUUUC
Molecule: long non-coding RNA, 2148 nt
Organism: Onychostoma macrolepis
Lineage: Eukaryota; Metazoa; Chordata; Actinopteri; Cypriniformes; Cyprinidae
Exons: 3
Source: RefSeq, a predicted model, not a curated record